GGUGCAGGAGUGCAUGCCCAGCCCCAGUGGAAUGCACAUUACAGCAACACAUCAGGAAAAAAAUAAGACACUUUAGGACCAUCACUGACUUAAGAUUGUUUAUCUAUGUUCUAGAAUGGCUCUCCUGCAAAGCACUGCAAUAUUACUUUCCUGACAAGGACAAGACUCUUCUUAAAAGAUACUCCUCUCCAUAGCAUUAAGUGAGGAGCCCACUGAGUAAAGAUUGGAUGCAAGAAAAGGAAGUACUGGAAAGAUCAAAGAAACAGCUCUU
Long non-coding RNA from Empidonax traillii (willow flycatcher), 271 nucleotides. RefSeq lists it as uncharacterized. The record is from RefSeq and is a predicted model, not a curated record. The transcript is spliced from 4 exons. Lineage: Eukaryota; Metazoa; Chordata; Aves; Passeriformes; Tyrannidae.